This 75-nucleotide transfer RNA is filed under the name Candidatus Woesearchaeota archaeon. Its description in RNAcentral is "tRNA-Glu". It matches the Rfam family "tRNA". From Rfam's summary of the family: Transfer RNA (tRNA) molecules are approximately 80 nucleotides in length. Their secondary structure includes four short double-helical elements and three loops (D, anti-codon, and T loops). Lineage: Archaea; Nanobdellati; Candidatus Woesearchaeota. The record is from RNAcentral.
GGUCCUGUAGUGUAGUCCGGCCCAUCAUGCUGCGCUUUCGACGCGGCGACCCGGGUUCAAAUCCCGGCGGGACCA